This 313-nucleotide ribosomal RNA is filed under the name uncultured eukaryote. RNAcentral's name for it is "partial 18S ribosomal RNA". It matches the Rfam family "Eukaryotic small subunit ribosomal RNA", at positions 1470 to 1796 of the family's 1831-position model. The record is from RNAcentral.
CCCUUAGAUGUCCUGGGCUGCACGCGCGCUACACUGAUGUGUCCAGUAAGCACCUAACCUCUUCCGAAAGGAACGGGUAACCUUUGCAAAGCACAUCGUGAUGGGGAUAGAUUAUUGCAAUUAUUAGUCUUGAACGAGGAAUUCCUAGUAAGCACAAGUCAUCAGCUUGUGCUGAUUACGUCCCUGCCCUUUGUACACACCGCCCGUCGCUCCUACCGAUUGAGUGUUCCGGUGAAUUAUUCGGACUGCAACAGUUAUCUGUCGCGGAAAGUCUUGUGAACCUUAACACUUAGAGGAAGGAAAAGUCGUAACA